Long non-coding RNA from Gorilla gorilla gorilla (western lowland gorilla), 1621 nucleotides. RefSeq lists it as uncharacterized. Lineage: Eukaryota; Metazoa; Chordata; Mammalia; Primates; Hominidae. The record is from RefSeq and is a predicted model, not a curated record. The transcript is spliced from 3 exons.
UUCACCUUCCAUCAUGAUUGUGAGGCCUCCCCAGCCAUGUGGAACUGUAAGUCCAUUAAACCUCUUUCUUUUGUAAAUUGUCCAGUCUCGAGUAUGUCCUUAUCAGCAGCAUAAAAGUGGACUAAUACAAGGAUUUUCUAGACCACUUUGGCAGCCAUCACUGAAACCGGCCUGAAAUAUAUAUAACGGUCCUUCUCUUAUGUUCAAGCCAAUUUGAAUGGAAGGAGAUUUCUUUAUUUCAGAUAUCCUCACUAAUUAAUGCUCUACAAUAGCAUAAAUUUCUUGUGGUCCAAAUCCUUUUCUUUUAAAAGUCACUAAGUGGCCAGGCAUGGUAGCUCACACUUGUAAUCCCAGCACUUUGGGAGGCCGAGGCAGGUGGAUCACCUGAGGUCAGGAGUUCGAGACCAUCCUGGCCAACAUAGGGAGGCUUCAUCUCUAAAAGAAAUAUAUAAUUCAUGAAUACUAACAGUUUAUGGUUUUUUUAGUCAUACAGUUCAAAUGCCUUCUACUAAUUUUAAACAGCAUCUGGAUUUUAAAGGAGCAAAAUUCAAAAGAAAGAAGCUUGAAAAUCCUUCACUGGAAAAACCUGCCCAUUAAAAAAAAAUAAGACCAAAGCUCAAUUCUCACCUGGUUCCAAAAACCAUUUGAAUUCAGCAUAUCAUGUGUUGGAUUUUAGAAUGGAGUAAGCAGAGAAACAGAGGGAAAACAGCAACAUGUGUAAGUGAUCACCAAAAAAAUAGCCCGUUUCCAAUACUGAAAAAAACAUGGCUUAUACAUAGGUCACAGAACAAAUCAGACGAAACCAAAGUGCCAAGUCACAACUUAAAGGAAAAGAAUCCAUGAGGGACCUUCGUGAGCAGAUGGAUUAGAAAGGCUAAGUUUCAACUCAUGAAGACUUGAACCUACGCUAUCUGAAAUAGCCAGUCAAUAACAUUAAUAAUAAUCAUAAGACUCUGAAAACUACAGCUGGGGGGAUUAAGUCAAACGGAGAAGCAAGGGACUGAACAAGAGAAGGGACUUUCCACAGAAUUACUGAAAACAACAAUCUGGUAAUGAGGGAGUUGCUUCUUUCUGCUGGAGUGAAAUUCCUCUACAAUGUUUUUCCUUUGUGGCUGCAUUUUCUAGCAUCAGUAGGAGUACCUUCUGAAGAGAUUAAGUCCAGUUCACUAUUGAAUCUGCAUUCAAAGAUGCCAGUAAGCAGAUUUGGAAACUGAAGCACAGACAUUAAAUAAUGUGGCCACGUCAUGCAACUAAUAAGCAGUAGAUCUGAGAUUAUCUCAAAGGUCACCAGCUUGAACAGACCCUUCUUGCUCUGUCCCAAGGACAAAGAAGAUGGCUGGUGCGUUCCCCUCUGUGAAGAAUUUGCUGGCAUUUGAAAGAAACGGUCAGUAGAAUAUUCACUGGAUAGUGAAAUUCUUUGUGCCUGGGAUGUGUUCAGUCUGUUAUUCUGCUGCACCAGGAAAGAAGGUCCAGUGUCUUAUUUCAUUCUGGAGCUUUUUGAAACUUUUUACUCUGUACUUUAAUUUUGGCAACCUUGGACUGAUGGGGUUUGUAGAUAUUAAUUAUCAAAUUGUUAUGUAUUAGCUGAUAUUCUUUCAAUUCAAUAAAUAUUUUAAAUCCC